CAAGAGUCAUAAAAGAAAGCACAAUAUUUUUAAUACACUUAGAAAAAUAGACUUUGAAACUACAAGUAAGAAAGAGUUUAAGAGAAGUCUGGAAAAAAAAAGGGAAGAGUCUGUUGAAGGUGCAAUCUUCUGUAACAUCUCUAUGCUUAUACCAUAGAGAUCAGGUUUCCCGCCCCCAUCUUUGGGUGAUAAAUUCAGACUCCCGGUGGAUUCCCAAAACUGUGGGUAGUACUGAUCCUUCUAUAUGUUUGUCCUAUUCAUGCCUAUGAUAAAGUUUAAUUUAUAAAUUAGGCACAGUCAGAGGUCAACAAUGACUAACAAUAAAAUAGAACAAUUGUAACA
Molecule: long non-coding RNA, 342 nt
Filed under: Vulpes vulpes (red fox)
Lineage: Eukaryota; Metazoa; Chordata; Mammalia; Carnivora; Canidae
Description: lncRNA (ENSVVUG00000006158.1)
Source: RNAcentral